Molecule: ribosomal RNA, 253 nt
Filed under: uncultured bacterium
Lineage: Bacteria
Description: partial 16S ribosomal RNA
Rfam family: Bacterial small subunit ribosomal RNA
Source: RNAcentral
UCCGGGGGGGGCAAGCGUUGUUCGGAAUUACUGGGCGUAAAGGGCUCGUAGGCGGCCAACUAAGUCAGACGUGAAAUCCCCCGGCUUAACCUGGGAACUGCGUCUGAUACUGGGAGGCUUGAGUAUGGGAGAGGGAUGUAGAAUUCCAGGUGUAGCGGUGAAAUGCGUAGAUAUCUGGAGGAAUACCGGUGGCGAAGGCGGCAUCCUGGACCAUAACUGACGCUGAGGCGCGAAAGCUAGGGGAGCAAACGGG